GGGUGUGUAGCUCAGUGGUAGAGCGGCUGACUGCAGAUCAGCAGGUCCUCGG
Molecule: non-coding RNA, 52 nt
Organism: Perkinsus marinus ATCC 50983
Lineage: Eukaryota; Perkinsozoa; Perkinsida; Perkinsidae
Source: Rfam